AUUGAACGCUGGCGGCAUGCCUUACACAUGCAAGUCGAACGGUAACAGGUCUUCGGAUGCUGACGAGUGGCGAACGGGUGAGUAAUGCAUCGGAACGUGCCAUUGAGUGGGGGAUAACGUAGCGAAAGUUACGCUAAUACCGCAUAUUCUCUCCGGAGGAAAGCAGGGGAUCGUAAGACCUUGCGCUCUUUGAGCGGCGGAUGUCGGAUUAGCUAGUUGGUGAGGUAAAGGCUCACCAAGGCUACGAUCCGUAGCGGGCCUGAGAGGAUGAUUCGCCACACUGGGACUGAGACACGGCCCAGACUCCUACGGGAGGCAGAAGUGGGGAAUUUUGGACAAUGGGCGCAAGCCUGAUCCAGCCAUGCCGCGUGAGUGAAGAAGGCCUUCGGGUUGCAAAGCUCUUUCAGCCGGGAAGAAAACGCAUGGGUUAAUACCCUGUGCGGAUGACGGUACCGGAAUAAGAAGCACCGGCUAACUACGUGCCAGCAGCCGCCGCAG
Molecule: ribosomal RNA, 498 nt
Filed under: uncultured bacterium
Lineage: Bacteria
Description: partial 16S ribosomal RNA
Rfam family: Bacterial small subunit ribosomal RNA
Source: RNAcentral